This 256-nucleotide ribosomal RNA is filed under the name uncultured bacterium. Its description in RNAcentral is "partial 16S ribosomal RNA". It matches the Rfam family "Bacterial small subunit ribosomal RNA", at positions 521 to 776 of the family's 1533-position model. The record is from RNAcentral.
UGAUACGUAGGGUGCGAGCGUUGUCCGGAUUUAUUGGGCGUAAAGGGCUCGUAGGUGGUUUGUUGCGUCGGAAGUGAAAACCUGCAGCUUAACUGUGGGCUUGCUUUCGAUACGGGCAGACUUGAGGAAGGUAGGGGAGAACGGAAUUCCUGGUGGAGCGGUGGAAUGCGCAGAUAUCAGGAGGAACACCGGUGGCGAAGGCGGUUCUCUGGACCUUUCCUGACGCUGAGGAGCGAAAGCGUGGGGAGCAAACAGG